This 645-nucleotide unclassified non-coding RNA is filed under the name Perileptus testaceus. RNAcentral's name for it is "partial contains 16S ribosomal RNA (rrnL) and tRNA-Leu (trnL)". The stretch from base 337 to 495 matches the Rfam family "Bacterial large subunit ribosomal RNA", at positions 2473 to 2632 of the family's 2925-position model. The record is from RNAcentral. Lineage: Eukaryota; Metazoa; Arthropoda; Insecta; Coleoptera; Carabidae.
AAUGGCCGCAGUAUUUUGACUGUGCAAAGGUAGCAUAAUCAUUAGUUUUUUAAUUAAAAGCUUGUAUGAAAGGUUGGACGAGAUAAAAUCUGUCUCAUUAUAAUUUAUUAGAAUUUAAUUUUUAAGUAAAAAAGCUUAAAUAAAAAUAAAAGACGAGAAGACCCUAUAGAGUUUUAUAAACUAUUAAAAUUAUUUAUUAAUGAAUUUUUUAUUUUAAUUUUAUUAGUUUAUUUUGUUGGGGUAAUAGAAAGAUUUAAUUAAUUCUUUUUUAUUUAUUACAAUUAUUUUUGAAUUUUUGAUCCAUUAUUAUUGAUUAUAAGAUUAAAUUACCUUAGGGAUAACAGCGUAAUUUUUUUAGAGAGUUCUUAUCGAUAAAAAAGUUUGCGACCUCGAUGUUGGAUUAAAGAUUAAUUUAGGUGUAGAAGUUUAAAUUUUUGGUCUGUUCGACCAUUGAAUCUUUACAUGAUCUGAGUUCAAACCGGUGUAAGCCAGGUUGGUUUCUAUCUUUAUUAAAUUUUAAUAUUUUAGUACGAAAGGACCAAAUAUUAGUUAAAUUAUUAAUUUUUAAUUGAAUAUUAUUGUUACUUUGGCAGAUUAGUGUGAUGAAUUUAGAAUUCAUUUAUGUAAUUAUUUUACAGGUAAUAU